RNAcentral lists this ribosomal RNA (497 nucleotides) under uncultured bacterium. Its description in RNAcentral is "partial 16S ribosomal RNA". It matches the Rfam family "Bacterial small subunit ribosomal RNA", at positions 28 to 507 of the family's 1533-position model. The record is from RNAcentral.
GACGAACGCUGGCGGCGUGCCUAAUACAUGCAAGUAGAACGCUGAAGAGAGGGGCUUGCUCUUCUUGGAUGAGUUGCGAACGGGUGAGUAACGCGUAGGUAACCUGCCUUGUAGUGGGGGAUAACUAUUGGAAACGAUAGCUAAUACCGCAUAACAAUGGAUGACACAUGUCAUUUAUUUGAAAGGGGCAAUUGCUCCACUACAAGAUGGACCUGCGUUGUAUUAGCUAGUAGGUGAGGUAAUGGCUCACCUAGGCGACGAUACAUAGCCGACCUGAGAGGGUGAUCGGCCACACUGGGACUGAGACACGGCCCAGACUCCUACGGGAGGCAGCAGUAGGGAAUCUUCGGCAAUGGGGGCAACCCUGACCGAGCAACGCCGCGUGAGUGAAGAAGGUUUUCGGAUCGUAAAGCUCUGUUGUAAGUCAAGAACGGGUGUGAGAGUGGAAAGUUCACACUGUGACGGUAGCUUACCAGAAAGGGACGGCUAACUACGUG